This 429-nucleotide ribosomal RNA is filed under the name Bacteroidota bacterium. RNAcentral describes it as "Bacteroidetes bacterium partial 16S ribosomal RNA". It matches the Rfam family "Bacterial small subunit ribosomal RNA", at positions 355 to 776 of the family's 1533-position model. The record is from RNAcentral. Lineage: Bacteria; Pseudomonadati; Bacteroidota.
UAGGGAAUCUUCCGCAAUGGACGCAAGUCUGACGGAGCAACGCCGCGUGAGUGAAGAAGGAUUUCGGUUCGUAAAACUCUGUUGUUAGAGAAGAACAGCGCAUAGAGUAACUGUUAUGCGUGUGACGGUAUCUAACCAGAAAGCCACGGCUAACUACGUGCCAGCAGCCGCGGUAAUACGUAGGUGGCAAGCGUUGUCCGGAUUUAUUGGGCGUAAAGCGAGCGCAGGCGGUCAAUUAAGUCUGAUGUGAAAGCCCCCGGCUCAACCGGGGAGGGUCAUUGGAAACUGGUUGACUUGAUUGCAGAAGAGGAGAGUGGAAUUCCAUGUGUAGCGGUGAAAUGCGUAGAUAUAUGGAGGAACACCAGUGGCGAAGGCGACUCUCUGGUCUGUAACUGACGCUGAGGUUCGAAAGCGUGGGUAGCAAACAGG